GUUGUUGCUGACUCCCUCAAGUGGGGAGGUGUAUGUGCACACUUGUCAUCUUUAUUUCUCCAACUGUGCACAUAUUGUAGACCUGGGAAGUCAUUGAUUCAUUUCGAGUUGGGACUGCUGUUCUUCAUUGAAUUGAAGUCAGCUUUUGCCUUGCAUUUCCUCAGGUCUAUGUUUUUUCACAACCUCUUGUCAUGUCUAGAAUGUUGAAUCAGGUCCUUUUGUACCUAUAAAGUUAAAUAUACAACUUUCAGCAACGGAUCUCUUGGCUCUCGCAUCGAUGAAGAACGCAGCGAAAUGCGAUAAGUAAUGUGAAUUGCAGAAUUCAGUGAAUCAUCGAAUCUUUGAACGCACCUUGCGCUCCCUGGUAUUCCUAGGAGCAUGCCUGUUUGAGUGUCAUUUAAGUUCUCAACCGCACUUUUUUGUGUGGCUUGGAUGUGGAGGUUUUCUGCAGGCUUUUUCAUCAUUAUAUGAAGGUCGGCUCCUCUGAAAUGCAUUAGUGGUAUCUGAGCAGAGAAAAACCCUGGUGUGAUAAUUUAUCUAUGCCA
RNAcentral lists this ribosomal RNA (545 nucleotides) under Inocybe sp. YM2888. RNAcentral describes it as "eukaryotic LSU rRNA". The stretch from base 243 to 396 matches the Rfam family "5.8S ribosomal RNA". The record is from RNAcentral. Lineage: Eukaryota; Fungi; Basidiomycota; Agaricomycetes; Agaricales; Inocybaceae.